This 204-nucleotide long non-coding RNA is filed under the name Vigna radiata. Its description in RNAcentral is "long non-coding RNA (VRAD_LNC004203)". Lineage: Eukaryota; Viridiplantae; Streptophyta; Magnoliopsida; Fabales; Fabaceae. The record is from RNAcentral.
AAAUCAAAGCACUCAAGAAAGCAAACACAACAGACUUGGCAAGCCUCUAAUAUCAACACUAAAAAACAUAUGCAUGUUCAAAUCAAAAAGGUCUUUUAUGGGUGAAAUGAGGCCAAGGACAAGGGAGGAUAUAAUAUGGAUGAGAAGUUACAAACCAAAAGGAAUAGAGGAGCAAUGGAGAACAAGUGAAAACACAGUCAAAUC